Capsicum annuum is the source of this 106-nucleotide non-coding RNA. The record is from Rfam. NCBI's taxonomy places the organism in Eukaryota, Viridiplantae, Streptophyta, Magnoliopsida, Solanales, Solanaceae.
ACCUUAUGUUUGGGACAUUGAAUGAGUUUUCCAUUGAAUCUUUCCCAAACCUCAUAUAAGGGUUCUCCAUUUAAUUGCCUAAAGUUAAUAAUAUCAUCACGUAAUU